UUUUUAAUAAAGCUUAUCUGAGGAUUCCCUUGGUACCUUUUUAUAUAAAGGUGGAAUCGUUGAUGGUUGAGCCAGAAUCUUUAGACCAUUAUACUAGCCUCGUUAAAGAACUAGGUCACAUUCUAAUAGGUCGUUAGGAUAGGAGAUCUUCUUAUUAUCAUGCGAAUCAAAGUUGUUAGUUAUGGAUGUCAACUAAGGAUCGUGUCC
RNAcentral lists this long non-coding RNA (207 nucleotides) under Elaeis guineensis (African oil palm). RNAcentral describes it as "long non-coding RNA (EGUI_LNC038447)". The record is from RNAcentral. Lineage: Eukaryota; Viridiplantae; Streptophyta; Magnoliopsida; Arecales; Arecaceae.